AGUGAACGCUGGCGGUAGGCCUAACACAUGCAAGUCGAACGGCAGCACAGUAAGAGCUUGCUCUUACGGGUGGCGAGUGGCGGACGGGUGAGGAAUACAUCGGAAUCUACUUUUUCGUGGGGGAUAACGUAGGGAAACUUACGCUAAUACCGCAUACGACCUACGGGUGAAAGCAGGGGAUCUUCGGACCUUGCGCGAUUGAAUGAGCCGAUGUCGGAUUAGCUAGUUGGCGGGGUAAAGGCCCACCAAGGCGACGAUCCGUAGCUGGUCUGAGAGGAUGUCAGCCCACAUUGAACUGAGACACGGUCCCGGCUACGUAGUUAGGGCGCAGUGGGGAAUAUUUGGCAACGGGGGGAAAGCUUAUCCAAUCCUUCCGCGGUGGUGGAAGAAGCCCUUCGGGUGGAAAACCCCUUUUUUGGGAAAAAAAAGCAGCAGGGUAAUAACCCGCCUGUCUGGCGGUAACCAAAAAAAAAGCACCGGCUAACUUCGUG
This 491-nucleotide ribosomal RNA is filed under the name uncultured bacterium. RNAcentral's name for it is "partial 16S ribosomal RNA". It matches the Rfam family "Bacterial small subunit ribosomal RNA", at positions 29 to 507 of the family's 1533-position model. The record is from RNAcentral.